AUUGAACGCUGGCGGCAUGCCUAACACAUGCAAGUCGAGCGGACGAAGGGAGCUUGCUCCUGGAUUCAGCGGCGGACGGGUGAGUAAUGCCUAGGAAUCUGCCUGGUAGUGGGGGAUAACGUCCGGAAACGGGCGCUAAUACCGCAUACGUCCUGAGGGAGAAAGUGGGGGAUCUUCGGACCUCACGCUAUCAGAUGAGCCUAGGUCGGAUUAGCUAGUUGGUGGGGUAAAGGCCUACCAAGGCGACGAUCCGUAACUGGUCUGAGAGGAUGAUCAGUCACACUGGAACUGAGACACGGUCCAGACUCCUACGGGAGGCAGCAGUGGGGAAUAUUGGACAAUGGGCGAAAGCCUGAUCCAGCCAUGCCGCGUGUGUGAAGAAGGUCUUCGGAUUGUAAAGCACUUUAAGUUGGGAGGAAGGACAGUAAGUUAAUACCUUGCUGUUUUGACGUUACCAACAGAAUAAGCACCGGCUAACUUCGUG
RNAcentral lists this ribosomal RNA (484 nucleotides) under uncultured bacterium. Its description in RNAcentral is "partial 16S ribosomal RNA". It matches the Rfam family "Bacterial small subunit ribosomal RNA", at positions 30 to 507 of the family's 1533-position model. The record is from RNAcentral.